CUUUUUUUUUACAGCCACAUUGAGCUGUACUGCAAGGGUACAGAUGCACAGUGGGCAAAGGUCGUUAUACAACCAGAACUGUAUUUAACCAAAGCAAGAGAGCAGCCAGCAAGUUACAGGUGUACACAAGCGAGUAUACAGGCUGACCAUGUUAAGUUAAGAAGGGAGAAGAGGGAUGGCGAGGUAUAGAGCUAUGAUCAGUGCAUCCGGCGUGGGGCUGGGGAGACUUCCAAAAUCUGGGUAGGCGCUUAUGAAACUACAAAACUUCCCUGGUCCCGCAGACAGGUGCCUCUCUGGAGACUGCGGCCGACUGGGGUCAGCCAGGCUCCUAGCCCCACGCACCUCCUGCCGCCCAGGACUACGCCUCCCAGCGGCCUCUGCGCCCGGCGCCCAGGACUACACUUCCCGGCGGCCCCCACUUCGGAAGCGGUUUCGUCCAGACCUGCCUUCCCGCCGCUGAUUGGCUGCUGCCUUCCCGCCGCUGAUUGGCUGCUGCCGUCCGCUGAGUGGCUGCUGCCGUCCGCUGAUUGGCUGCUGCCGUCCGCCGCCCGCGCGGCGGCUCUCGGAGGUCGUGUCGGUCCGCUUGUCCUGACGCCAGGGGUCGGCAGUAUUCAAGGACGUGGCGAUAGACUUCACCCAGGGAAAGUGGAACUACCUGGGUGCUGCACAAAAGGACUUACCCAGAGACGUGAUGUUGGAAAACUACCACAACCUGGUCUCUGUCGUAGGACUUUCCAGAUCUAAGCCAGAUGUGAUCUCUUUAUUGGAGCAAGAGAAGCAGCCUUGGAUGGUUACAAAGGCCAUGACAGGUGGCCCUCGCCCGGGCCUAAAAAAGCCAUCUUCCAGACUCAAGGGUGUCACUUCCUCACUAUAGGUGGAUCGCUACCUGAUGCUCCCCUUCAACAUUUCCAAUAUUCCCUCACUUACCUGAGCACUGGCUUGUGGUUGGUGCUCUGUCAUCUGUCCAGGCCUCCUGCCCUUGCUCCAGUAAGAUUACAGCUGGAUUAGAAAUGGAAAGUCCUGCUCAUGAGAAAAAAAGUUCUGGGAUGUCCCAGAAUUCAUCCAGUCCUUUGGUCAAGAAAGAAAUAGGAUUAUAAGAAGGACCAACCAGAGAAAAGCAUAUAUCAUGAAAAAUGAAUAAAAUUAUGUUUCCACCAUAA
This is a long non-coding RNA of Leopardus geoffroyi (Geoffroy's cat), 1160 nucleotides long. RefSeq lists it as uncharacterized. The record is from RefSeq and is a predicted model, not a curated record. The transcript has 4 exons. Lineage: Eukaryota; Metazoa; Chordata; Mammalia; Carnivora; Felidae.